GAUGAACGCUGGCGGCGUGCCUAAUACAUGCAAGUCGAGCGAACGGACGAGAAGCUUGCUUCUCUGAUGUUAGCGGCGGACGGGUGAGUAACACGUGGAUAACCUACCUAUAAGACUGGGAUAACUUCGGGAAACCGGAGCUAAUACCGGAUAAUAUUUUGAACCGCAUGGUUCAAAAGUGAAAGACGGUCUUGCUGUCACUUAUAGAUGGAUCCGCGCUGCAUUAGCUAGUUGGUAAGGUAACGGCUUACCAAGGCAACGAUGCAUAGCCGACCUGAGAGAGUGAUCGGCCACACUGGAACUGAGACACGGUCCAGACUCCUACGGGAGGCAGCAGUAGGGAAUCUGCCGCAGUGGGCGAAAGCCUGACGGAGCAACGCCGCGUGAGUGAUGAAGGUCUUCGGAUCGUAAAACUCUGUUAUUAGGGAAGAACAUAUGUGUAAGUAACUGUGCACAUCUUGACGGUACCUAAUCAGAAAGCCACGGCUAACUACGUG
RNAcentral lists this ribosomal RNA (497 nucleotides) under uncultured bacterium. RNAcentral's name for it is "partial 16S ribosomal RNA". It matches the Rfam family "Bacterial small subunit ribosomal RNA", at positions 28 to 507 of the family's 1533-position model. The record is from RNAcentral.